This 407-nucleotide ribosomal RNA is filed under the name uncultured bacterium. Its description in RNAcentral is "partial 16S ribosomal RNA". It matches the Rfam family "Bacterial small subunit ribosomal RNA", at positions 30 to 526 of the family's 1533-position model. The record is from RNAcentral.
AUUGAACGCUGGCGGCAGGCCUAACACAUGCAAGUCGAACGGAGUGGCGGACGGGUGAGUAAUGUAUGGGAAUCUGCCUGGUAGUGGGGGAUAACGUCCGGAAACGGGCGCUAAUACCGCAUACUAUCAGAUGAGCCCAGGUGGGAUUAGCUAGUAGGUGGGGUAACGGCCUACCAAGGCGACGAUCCGUAACUGGUCUGAGAGGAUGACAAGCCACACUGGAACUGAGACACGGUCCAGACUCCGACGGGAGUCAGCAGGGGGGAAUAUUGUACAAUGGGCGAAAGCCUGAUCCAGCCAUGCCGCGUGUGUGAAGAAGGCCUUCGGAUUGUAAAGUACUGUAAGUUAGGAGGCGUUACCAGCAGAAUAAGCACCGGCUAACUCCGUGCCAGCAGCCGCGGUAAUUC